This is a long non-coding RNA of Nymphaea colorata (pocket water lily), 366 nucleotides long. RefSeq lists it as uncharacterized. The record is from RefSeq and is a predicted model, not a curated record. NCBI's taxonomy places the organism in Eukaryota, Viridiplantae, Streptophyta, Magnoliopsida, Nymphaeales, Nymphaeaceae. The transcript is spliced from 3 exons.
AAACAGCUAUGGUGUUCAGUCACUCAAGCAGCAGACAGCUAGAAGGAGCGGUAGCAGAUUCUCUGGUUAAGCUUCAAAAACUGGUAGUGGUGGUUUUCCAAGCUAUCAAGCAUGUGGUAGGCUUGGUUAUGGGCUUUUGACUCUUGGCUUUUAAGAUUCCACGUUCCGUUUUGGCUUUGAUAGAGAAAGACUGUGCAGCUGUGCUCCUUUUCUAGUGGAGGGAUUCAGAAGAUCCUAGACGAGGCAUCCUCACUUAAAUGUAAUGACAUUUACAAUUAUAUCAGGAGGAAGGACCAGAAAGACCCAUUGAGAUGUGCAUGUUUUGAAAGAAGCUCCCAACUAUGGAUUGAAUCCAGUGGUUUGGGG